AACCUGGUUGAUCCUGCCAGUAGUCAUAUGCUUGUUCUCAAAGAUUAAGCCAUGCAUGUCUAAGUAUGAAAUGGAUUAUACAGUGAAACUGCGAAUGGCUCAUUAAAUCAGUUAUAGUUUAUUUGAUAAUAUCUCUUACUUGGAUAACCGUAAUAAUUUUAGAGCUAAUACAUGCGUAAAAGGGUGACUUCGGAAACCCUGUAUUUAUUAGAUACAAAACCAAUCACGCUUGCGUGCUUCCUUGGUGAUUCAUAAUAACUAAACGAAUCGUAUGGCUUUAUGCCGACGAUGAUUCAUAUAAGUUUCUGCCCUAUCAACUUUCGAUGGUAAGGUAUUGGCUUACCAUGGUUACAACGGGUGACGGAGAAUUAGGGUUCGAUUCCGGAGAGGGAGCCUGAGAAACGGCUACCACUUCUACGG
This 420-nucleotide ribosomal RNA is filed under the name uncultured marine eukaryote. RNAcentral describes it as "bacterial SSU rRNA". It matches the Rfam family "Eukaryotic small subunit ribosomal RNA", at positions 1 to 421 of the family's 1831-position model. The record is from RNAcentral.